ACGAACGCUGGCGGCGUGCUUAACCCAUGCCAGUCGCACGGAAAGGCCCUGCUUUUGUGGGGUGCUCGAGUGGCGAACGGGUGAGUAACACGUGAGUAACCUGCCCUUGACUUUGGGAUAACUUCAGGAAACUGGGGCUAAUACCGGAUAGGAGCUCCUGCUGCAUGGUGGGGGUUGGAAAGUUUCGGCGGUUGGGGAUGGACUCGCGGCUUAUCAGCUUGUUGGUGGGGUAGUGGCUUACCAAGGCUUUGACGGGUAGCCGGCCUGAGAGGGUGACCGGCCACAUUGGGACUGAGAUACGGCCCAGACUCCUACGGGAGGCAGCAGUGGGGAAUAUUGCACAAUGGGCGGAAGCCUGAUGCAGCAACGCCGCGUGCGGGAUGACGGCCUUCGGGUUGUAAACCGCUUUCGCCUGUGACGAAGCGUGAGUGACGGUAAUGGGUAAAGAAGCACCGGCUAACUACGUG
This 467-nucleotide ribosomal RNA is filed under the name uncultured bacterium. Its description in RNAcentral is "partial 16S ribosomal RNA". It matches the Rfam family "Bacterial small subunit ribosomal RNA", at positions 29 to 507 of the family's 1533-position model. The record is from RNAcentral.